CAAGUAUCAACAAGCUGAUGGGGGAACCGUCCCUGAGAGAACCGAAGAGCAUCGUCAACAACAAGGAGGGCGAGAUGCCUUUGUGUCAAUCCCAGUUCUUGAAGAAAAACAAAACAAAACAAACAAAAUUCCAACAGAGGUUGACCGACAUCCAUCACAACGUCCAGAUGACAGACAGAGCAGAAGGCGGGGGCAAAAUUACGUCACGUGGACAAAGUCACCACAGGCUGUUGUAACAGCGGCAGUAAGAUGCAUCUGACAGUCACCUCUUUGGGGAGAGAAAGGAUGGGGCGGAAAAAGCGAACAGCUGUCACGACAUGGAAGGAGCAUAAUAAAAUCCGAAAGUGAAAA
Molecule: non-coding RNA, 351 nt
Organism: Pantherophis guttatus
Lineage: Eukaryota; Metazoa; Chordata; Lepidosauria; Squamata; Colubridae
Source: RefSeq, a predicted model, not a curated record